CUUGCUUCCUAGAAUAUUAUUCUAUUGUUCAUUUCGGUUUAUUCACUUAAAAUAUUUUCAUUAAUUUUUGAACUGAUCCGGAGACAGAUGUAGCCUGACUCUGCUGUUACUGAAAACUGGAAUAUGCAAUGAUCUCAGAGACUGGCUCUCUUCUCUCACACUUUAAACACCCGUAAUAGCAACCACAAUUGGCAUUUGCUUUUUGAUUUAGGGUGAACCAGGGUUAAAUGGUGUUAAGGACUGAAGGGUGAACCAGGUCAAAGGGUGACAGAGGACCCCUUGGUCUCCCAGGUACAGAUGGUCCUGUGGGACCCCAUGGCCCCGCCGGCCCCAAAGGAGAAAGAGGAGAAAAAGGAGCUGUGGGAGAGCCAGGACCCAGAGGGCCCUACGGCCUGCCUGGUCCGGAUGGAUUACCCAUGCCCGGCUGCUGGCAGAAGUGAUGAAUUAACUUUCCAAGCAUGAAGUUGUAUAUAUUAUGGUCCACUUUCUAUAUUUAUAGUUGAAAACCGAACUGCAGAUUUUACAAGUCUGAGCUAUGUUUACAUAGAGCUGCUUCUUCCUGUGUGCUAUAGUACACACGCAUCAUUUCUCCACUUGCAUCCGAAAUUGGGCAAUUUAGGGAACCAGUGAGAAGCCUGCAAAGAAUAUAGACCAGUGUCCCUUACAUGAGGAUAUGUAUUUAUACGGACUUCAGUGAUAGACAGUGAAUGUUCUUGCUAUUUUCUUACUUUGAGCAUUGCAUGGGCUAAAAGCUCCAUGAAAUCGCUUACAUGAAAUUGUGACCAAAUAUGGACUCAAGGCUACGAAUGUGUACUAUUCCGACUGAUUUGUCUGUUGUCACCUCCACUCACCUUCCCUCCUAGCAUUGGCACCACUGAAUCUGACUAAAGAAAGCAUGCGUGUGCGCCCAACCUGCUUGCUGUGCAAACCCAGAUGGUUGCAUGCUGCCUGACCACCCCCUGCAGGCUCAUCUGAGCUUAUUCCUUUUGUCGUCUCAAGGGGGUUACACCAUGGCUUAUUGCCAAAAAGAGAUAAGUUGGCGGAGAGCACACACACGGUUGGUCUGAUAUUUUGAGGGCGUUGCAGAUCUACAGCUUCUGGUGUUAUGGCCUUGGGUGAAAUGCCAAGGGGCUGAGCCGAUGGCUGCUGCCAGUUUUCCUUGGGCUGCCCUUGCCAGUGAAGCCGCGAGAAGAAGAAUGGCUAGGCAUGCCGCACCGUCUCUCAUGUGACCACGUAGGAAAGCGGUUUACAGAGGCGAACACCCAGAAUAGCAGACUUUCUUGUUUAAUAAACUGGAUCCCAGCGAGCGUUCAUCUGGGUGCUUUUGGAAGUGACAGAGGCUGCGGCUCUUUUGGGACCAGAAGUCUUUGGGAUGGCCAUGCCGGCCUGAGGACAGAGGGUAUGCACGUGCCAUCAAAGCUCGAUUACUGAAGACGCGCGUCCCCAGGAAGCUCUGCCUCACGCCCUCCUGAAAGUCCAGGGGCUCCCGGACGCCUCUGCCACAGUCCCGUGGCAUCUUUUCCUCCGUCCGGUCCACCCAUCGCCAGCCUUUCCUACACGUUCUCGAGAGAAACGAAGAUAGGGUUCUCCGUUCUUUUCGGAUACUUUUUUCUUUUACUCGGAGGAAUAUUUAGAAAAUUUGUUUCAGUUUUUGUCAUAUCUUCUUUGAACAGUUUCCUAAAGGUCUUCAAAAUCAUACUAAUUCAGUGCCAACAGUCAAAUGACUUUUUACUAACAUCUUUGUUUUAGAUAACUGGAGAGAACAAAAAAGCUCCAAUUUCAGUUUAAU
This 1789-nucleotide long non-coding RNA is filed under the name Heterocephalus glaber (naked mole-rat). RNAcentral's name for it is "lncRNA (ENSHGLG00000039386.1)". Lineage: Eukaryota; Metazoa; Chordata; Mammalia; Rodentia; Bathyergidae. The record is from RNAcentral.